GACGAACGCUGGCGGCGUGCCUAACACAUGCAAGUUGAGCGACGAACCAGGGCUUGCCCUGGGGCAAAGCAGCGAACGGGUGAGUAACACGUGGGUAACGUGCCCCGAAGACCGGGACAACCCGAGGAAACUCGGGCUAAUACCGGAUGUGGUCGCCGGACACCAGUCCGGCGAGCAAAGGAAGCUUCGGCCUCCGCUUCGGGAGCGGCCCGCGGCCCAUUAGCUAGUUGGUGAGGUAACGGCUCACCAAGGCCGCGAUGGGUAGCUGGUCUGAGAGGACGAUCAGCCACACUGGGACUGAGACACGGCCCAGACUCCUACGGGAGGCAGCAGUGGGGAAUCUUGCGCAAUGCGCGAAAGCGUGACGCAGCAACGCCGCGUGGGGGAAGAAGGCCUUCGGGUUGUAAACCCCUUUCAGGAGGGACGAAGGUUCGGCGGUGAACAGCCGUCCGGACUGACGGUACCUCCACAAGAAGCCCCGGCUAACUACGUGCCAGCCGCCGCCGUAAAAC
RNAcentral lists this ribosomal RNA (512 nucleotides) under uncultured bacterium. RNAcentral's name for it is "bacterial SSU rRNA". It matches the Rfam family "Bacterial small subunit ribosomal RNA", at positions 28 to 526 of the family's 1533-position model. The record is from RNAcentral.